RNAcentral lists this long non-coding RNA (385 nucleotides) under Rattus norvegicus (Norway rat). RNAcentral's name for it is "long non-coding RNA NONRATT007082". Lineage: Eukaryota; Metazoa; Chordata; Mammalia; Rodentia; Muridae. The record is from RNAcentral.
ACAGACUUAACUGCAGGAAGGAAGGAGAGGCAGAACUGUAGCUGCUCAGAAGAAUGGCUUGCCUAGAGGGCUCACAGGAUGCAUGGGGGCAAAGGGGAAGGCCUCAUGCUGUCUGUCUGUCUGUCUGUCUGUCUGUCUGUCUGUCUUUUGUUUUCCCUGCCAUUCAUUCCCUUAGGUAGAAAUGACAGUUGUCCAUAGAGCUUCCCCUCUCUGUUCCGGGGAGCCUAAUAACUCAUCAUUAAAAAGAAAUCACUUCCUCCAUGCAGAUUGUAUUACCCAAGAAAAUGCAAAUUUGGGGGCUAACCGGGUGGUUCUUUAGGUAAAGGUACUCUCUUGAAAGUUAAAAGAAGAUGGAUGCACAGAGUUCAGCUAAAGUCAAUUCAAG